GCCUAGGGCUGGGGAGCUGGAAGCUGAUGACUCAGCCGCAGGCCGUGGGCAGCCACACCUGUUUCCUGGCCCUGAGUCAGGCCACGGGCAGCACCUCCAGGGCCACGUGGAGCCCAUCUGGCUAAUGGGAUGUGGGUGGCAGAGGGAGGGGGCCAAAGGGAGGGGUCAGGUCAACAGUAAGGGGGCAUUUCCACCUGGAGGCCUGAGCUAUGCAGAAAAGCAGCGUCCCUGCAUCCCCACCAGCUUCUCAGGGGCCCAGACUACUUGAAGGGACUUCAAAAAUGAGCAUUUAAAAACCCUUGAGUUGAAGAAGCGUCCACAUAGAAAAAGGCGCACAGGUCUCCGGCAUAUUCCUAGAAGAAGACAUUCUGGGUCGUGUGGGGACCCAUGGGUCACCUUCCGAGCAGCUGCUAGACUGUUCUGCACGCUUUCCACUCCCAGCAUUACUUCGUGACAGCAGGACCGCACAGUACAGAAGAAACAUGUGGUUCUGGAGGUGAGGAGCCCGGGAGCCCUCCCAUCUUCCAGAACACCGGGAGUGACGGGGAAACUCUAAAGGCUCCGGCGGGAAGAGAGGACGUUAACAGCCGGUAAACAAGAGUCACUGACAUCAGCAGCAUGAGAUGAAAGGAGACGACGGUGACACCUCCACGUUGGAGGGAGGAGGCGUGCAUCCCGCAGCGCCCGGCCUCCCAGGCGGGGAAGCCAGGUGGACGCGGAUAAACCAACAGCGACACAGUGGUUCACGGAGAAGUGAAGCGUCUGCUCAUCACGAGGCAUCUCACGGAAAGUGAAAGACGGACUUUCCCGACACACAUUGCCGUCCAGGGCUGCGCGCUGAGAGCUGACAAAGGCUUCCUGCGAAUCGCUGAGGAAAAGUGAACCCCACGGGGCGGACCAAAGACACGGGCAGACGUCUCCCGGAGCAGGAGGCGCGGAAGGUGGGACGUGCCGAGGGCUGCUCUCUAGCCGCCGGUGGAAGGCUGAGCAGGACCGCACCAGACGCUGUCUCAUAGCCACUCGAUCAGCAAAACGCCUCGGAAAUGUGACCACCCCUCGGGAGAACAGGAGACAGGUCACUAGCCCCAUUCGUCACUGGGUAGAGUGUAAAACGAUGCGACUGACCUGGGACAGAUCCUUGUGUCAACAUGGACGUCGCCGUGUGCCCCGUCUCGCAGUUCAGCUGGGGAGCACAAGCGGGACUUCGCUCAGUUGUCCCAGGAGAUGUGUCCCGGACGGUCCGCAACAGCAUCCGUGUAAGAGCCAAACCUGGAAACAGCCCAGAGGCCAAACAGUAGACGGGACGAGUCAGCUGUGGAGCGUGAGGUCUCACCAACAAUGGAGAGGCGGGCUGGCGGCCCAGCAGCCCCCUCCAGGGACGCCGGGAGCCUGCCCUGGGGAACCCACCACCCCAGGCUGAGGCCUAAAGGCCCUGACGUGGAGCGCUCCGAGCCGAGGCCCGGCUGGAUCACUGGGGAGGGGCGUCCACAGGGACGCUGCCCUUGGACGUGACAGUGGUCGGGGCAGCAUCCUGUGCCUGCUCUCAACUGUGAUCUGCCACCUAGGACCCGGCAGGCCUGUACCCAGAUGUGGCGUCUGCAGGUCCCACCAAUGACCCA
This is a long non-coding RNA of Equus caballus (horse), 1619 nucleotides long. NCBI's taxonomy places the organism in Eukaryota, Metazoa, Chordata, Mammalia, Perissodactyla, Equidae. The record is from Ensembl.